AAGACCUUGCGCUUUUGGAGCGGCCGAUGCCUGAUUAGCUUGUUGGUAGGGUAAUGGCCUACCAAAGCUUCGAUCAGUAGCUGGUCUGAGAGGACGGCCAGCCACACUGGGACUGAGACACGGCCCAGACUCCUACGGGAGGCAGCAGUGGGGAAUUUUGGACAAUGGGCGCAAGCCUGAUCCAGCCAUGCCGCGUGAGUGAAGAAGGCCUUCGGGUUGUAAAGCUCUUUCAGCCGGGAAGAAAAGGUUGCGAUUAAUAAUCGCAAUUUAUGACAGUACCGGAAGAAGAAGCACCGGCUAACUACGUGCCAGCAGCCGCGGUAAUACGUAGGGUGCGAGCGUUAAUCGGAAUUACUGGGCGUAAAGGGUGCGCAGGCGGUUUUGUAAGUCAGAUGUGAAAUCCCCGGGCUUAACCUGGGAACU
RNAcentral lists this ribosomal RNA (423 nucleotides) under uncultured bacterium. Its description in RNAcentral is "bacterial SSU rRNA". It matches the Rfam family "Bacterial small subunit ribosomal RNA", at positions 207 to 622 of the family's 1533-position model. The record is from RNAcentral.